Molecule: ribosomal RNA, 402 nt
Filed under: Henicops sp. QLD
Lineage: Eukaryota; Metazoa; Arthropoda; Chilopoda; Lithobiomorpha; Henicopidae
Description: partial 28S ribosomal RNA
Rfam family: Eukaryotic large subunit ribosomal RNA
Source: RNAcentral
CCAAGGAGUCUAACAUGUGCGCGAGUCGGUGAGAUUUGGUAAAAGUUUUUACACGAGACUCACGGGCGCAAUGAAAGUGAAGGCAACUAACUGACGCCUUUUUUUGUUAAAUUAAGAAGGAGUUUUUAGUGGCUGCGGCAGGAUCUGUUUUUACUCCUCGAAACAUUAGUUCGUCAAAAAAACUUUUGUUUCGCUUGGGGGCAGCGCACUGCCAGCCCGUCGCGAUCGUUCUCUAGUCGAUGCGGCGGAGCCUGAGCACACACGUUGGGACCCGAAAGAUGGUGAUCUAUGCUUGAGCAGGACGAAGCCAGAGGAAACUCUGGUGGAGGUCCGUAGCGAUUCUGACGUGCAAAUCGAUCGUCGGACUUGAGUAUAGGGGCGAAAGACUAAUCGAACCGUCUA